Molecule: small nucleolar RNA, 66 nt
Organism: Camelus dromedarius (Arabian camel)
Lineage: Eukaryota; Metazoa; Chordata; Mammalia; Artiodactyla; Camelidae
Gene: SNORD42
Rfam family: Small nucleolar RNA SNORD42
About the family: snoRNA U42 is found in intron 3 of the ribosomal protein L23a (RPL23a) gene in humans and is also present in mice. U42 is a member of the C/D class of snoRNA which contain C (UGAUGA) and D (CUGA) box motifs. Most of the members of the box C/D family function in directing site-specific 2'-O-methylation of substrate RNAs.
Source: Ensembl
AAGCAAAGGGUGGAAUGAUCACUAUUUAGAAAAGAAUGACAUGAACAAAGGAACCAACUGAUGCAC